CCAAAGUGUACAAUCUUUGUUCUGAGAGGCUGUAUGAUGCAUCGUUGUUUGAAGGAAAGGUAGCUAGUUUUCCAUUUGAUGACCACAAUUGUCCACCAAUUCAANNNNNNNNNUAUCGUUUUGUCAAAGUGCGUACUCGUGGUUGAAGGAGGAUAUUGAUAAUGUUGUUGUGGUGCACUGUAAGGCUGGAAUGGCAAGGACAGGGCUGAUGAUUUCUAGCCUUCUUCUAUACUUAAAGUUCUUUCCUACUGCUGAAGAG
Molecule: unclassified non-coding RNA, 259 nt
Filed under: Hevea brasiliensis (rubber tree)
Lineage: Eukaryota; Viridiplantae; Streptophyta; Magnoliopsida; Malpighiales; Euphorbiaceae
Source: RNAcentral